This 446-nucleotide ribosomal RNA is filed under the name uncultured bacterium. RNAcentral's name for it is "partial 16S ribosomal RNA". It matches the Rfam family "Bacterial small subunit ribosomal RNA", at positions 338 to 795 of the family's 1533-position model. The record is from RNAcentral.
CCUACGGGGGACUGCAGUCGAGAAUCAUUCACAAUGGGGGAAACCCUGAUGGUGCGACGCCGCGUGGGGGAAUGAAGGUCUUCGGAUUGUAAACCCCUGUCAUGUGGGAGCAAAUUAAAAAGAUAGUACCACAAGAGGAAGAGACGGCUAACUCUGUGCCAGCAGCCGCGGUAAUACAGAGGUCUCAAGCGUUGUUCGGAAUCACUGGGCGUAAGGCGUGCGUAGGCUGUUUCGUAAGUCGUGUGUGAAAGGCGCGGGCUCAACCCGCGGACGGCACAUGAUACUGCGAGACUAGAGUAAUGGAGGGGGAACCGGAAUUCUCGGUGUAGCAGUGAAAUGCGUAGAUAUCGAGAGGAACACUCGUGGCGAAGGCGGGUUCCUGGACAUUAACUGACGCUGAGGCACGAAGGCCAGGGGAGCGAAAGGGAUUAGAUACCCGAGUAGUC